GUGACAUCUCUGAAGACUGAAAUCCUGUUUAUCCACAGAACAAGUACAGCCAUGGAGGCAUCAAUAGAAACUUUUCUCACUUCCCAGUAAAUGUCUCCUCCCUGUUUUGGAGGGACCCUUGCUAGAAGUGAGAGAAGUUCUGUCUCUGGGUCUCACUCUAGUAUUGAU
RNAcentral lists this small RNA (168 nucleotides) under Chelonoidis abingdonii (Abingdon island giant tortoise). RNAcentral describes it as "TUC338 (ENSCABG00000009043.1)". Lineage: Eukaryota; Metazoa; Chordata; Testudines; Testudinidae. The record is from RNAcentral.